RNAcentral lists this ribosomal RNA (233 nucleotides) under uncultured bacterium. RNAcentral's name for it is "partial 16S ribosomal RNA". It matches the Rfam family "Bacterial small subunit ribosomal RNA", at positions 794 to 1025 of the family's 1533-position model. The record is from RNAcentral.
UCCACGCUGUAAACGAUGUUCAUUAGGUGUGGGAGGUUUCAAUACCUUCCGUGCCGUAGCUAACGCGUUAAAUGAACCGCCUGGGGAGUACGACCGCAAGGUUAAAACUCAAAGGAAUUGACGGGGGCCCGCACAAGCAGUGGAUCAUGUGGUUUAAUUCGAUGAUACACGAAGAACCUUACCAGCACUUGACAUCUAGGGAAGCCUUUAGAGAUAUUGGCGUGCCUUCGGGA